GGUUGCAAUCGCCUUGUUAUUAAUUCUGAUAAUUUGAAUGUUAUUGAAACGAUGAAUAAUAAUGGACGGUCAGCAGGAGCAGCACCGGCAAUUUUUGAUGAUUGCUAUUUUUUAACGUGUGAUUUUUCUACCUUCAGGUUUCAACAUUGUAAUAGAAAAGCUAAUAAGGUUACGCACAAGCUUGCUAGGUUGGCUAGAUUUUCUUCUUAUAUUUAA
This 216-nucleotide ribosomal RNA is filed under the name Triticum aestivum (bread wheat). Its description in RNAcentral is "partial small subunit ribosomal RNA". Lineage: Eukaryota; Viridiplantae; Streptophyta; Magnoliopsida; Poales; Poaceae. The record is from RNAcentral.